This 29-nucleotide non-coding RNA is filed under the name Mus musculus (house mouse). Lineage: Eukaryota; Metazoa; Chordata; Mammalia; Rodentia; Muridae. The record is from RNAcentral.
UNGGACAUUUGACACAGGGGCUUUACACG